AGGAGAAUAGCUCAGUCGGUAGAGCAGCGGUUUCCAAAACCGAAGGUCAGGGGUUCAAGUCCCUUUUUUCCUG
Molecule: transfer RNA, 73 nt
Filed under: Kryptoperidinium foliaceum endosymbiont
Lineage: Eukaryota; Bacillariophyta; Bacillariophyceae
Description: Endosymbiont of Kryptoperidinium foliaceum tRNA-Trp
Rfam family: tRNA
About the family: Transfer RNA (tRNA) molecules are approximately 80 nucleotides in length.
Source: RNAcentral